This 64-nucleotide transfer RNA is filed under the name Agulla adnixa. RNAcentral describes it as "tRNA-Cys". RNAcentral also lists the same sequence under 1 other name. The record is from RNAcentral. Lineage: Eukaryota; Metazoa; Arthropoda; Insecta; Raphidioptera; Raphidiidae.
AGUUUUAUAUUCAAUAAUGAAUUUAAAUUGCAAAUUUAAAAGUAUAUUUUAUAUAUUAAGACUU